Molecule: long non-coding RNA, 1073 nt
Filed under: Mustela putorius furo (domestic ferret)
Lineage: Eukaryota; Metazoa; Chordata; Mammalia; Carnivora; Mustelidae
Description: lncRNA (ENSMPUG00000025778.1)
Source: RNAcentral
GGCGAUGUCCGUGGUGCUCGAGCAGAGGCACAAGCGUCACAUAGUAGAUGUUCAGGAAAAGCGGCCAGUCCUCCCGGGAAAGCUCACCAUGGAUUGAACAAAGCCUGCAGUUAAGAUGGACGGGGAGAGGUACCAGGUGGGCCCCCCUGACCUGCUGAGAGAGCCUCCAAAGGUUACUUUUAUGUCGCUAGAUCUAACCUGGCUGGUGAAGGAAGGAGAGAGAACAUCCUGUGGGCAACGGAAGUCCUUGCCGGUACCAGAUGAGAACACAGAAGCACAGAGAGGUGAAGCAACGUGCCCAAGGUCACACAGCCGGUCGGUGGGGAGCAGGAUCCCAGCCCGGGACGAGCGGCUGCAAUCCCUGUGCCGUUAACCCUGCGCAGGUGACCUAGUGCCCCGGGGAAUGUCUCCUGUCCCCAGUCUCUGCAAGGACCAGGCUCCCAGCUCCAGGAUGCCCCGGUCAGCCGCCUCUUCCUCCUCCUUCCUUCCCACCUCCCCCCUCUUCCCCUUCCUCCCCUGCCCCCAUUGUCUGUACCCCCAGCAGAAUAUCAGCUCCACGAGCAAGUGGUCUCGUCCGCCUUAUGUGCAGCCCGAGUCUCACCUUCUAGAAGGGAGCCUGCGUGCCCUGGGCGCUGGAGUUUGCGGCUGACGGGCUCAGCACGCCUGGAGGUUGGGGGAGCUGGAAGGUCUUGGCUCCCCGCUCAGCUAAACCACGUGGCGUGGACAAAUCAUGCAGCUUCCCUGGACCUCAGCUUCUAAUGUUUGCAGAAUCAGGGAAGAAAACACCAACCUGAUGUGAGGGUUUCACUGAAGGCCGCAGCGCCCGGCCCAGCCCAGAGCCGACGGCCGCUCGACUUCUUGGCCCGGGAGUGGCGGGGCCCGGCUCUCCGCCCACCAUGCAGGCAUCCACGCACAUUUAAUUUGAUUUAGGGAGGGAAAUCAUCUCUAUAUUUUGGGUGGUGGUGGCACUAACGAUCUAUUUCCUGCGCAGCGCUCAGUGCCGAGUUGGCAUUAAUGUAGAAAAAUUAGUAUUAUCACGACUGCCUUCGGAGCCAUCUCCUGCACCAGAGUCC